RNAcentral lists this ribosomal RNA (440 nucleotides) under uncultured bacterium. Its description in RNAcentral is "bacterial SSU rRNA". It matches the Rfam family "Bacterial small subunit ribosomal RNA", at positions 338 to 770 of the family's 1533-position model. The record is from RNAcentral.
CCUACGGGAGGCAGCAGUGGGGAAUCUUGGACAAUGGGGGCAACCCUGAUCCAGCGAUGCCGCGUGGGUGAAGAAGGCCUUCGGGUUGUAAAGCCCUUUAGGUUGGGAAGAAGGAUACAUGGGGAUAAUCCAUGUAUUUUGACGGUACCGACAGAAUAAGCACCGGCAAACUCUGUGCCAGCAGCCGCGGUAAUACAGAGGGUGCGAGCGUUAAUCGGAGUUACUGGGCGUAAAGGGCGCGUAGGCGGUUAGAAGGGUGUGAUGUGAAAGCCCCGGGCUUAACCUGGGAAGGGCAUCGCAAACGCUCUAACUGGAGUUUGGGAGAGGGUGGCGGAAUUUCCGGUGUAGCGGUGAAAUGCGUAGAGAUCGGAAGGAACGUCAAUGGCGAAGGCAGCCACCUGGCCUGAAACUGACGCUGAGGCGCGAAAGCGUGGGGAGCG